GUGCCAGCCGCCGCGGUAAUACGUAGGGUGCAAGCGUUAAUCGGAAUUACUGGGCGUAAAGCGUGCGCAGGCGGUUAUGCAAGACAGAGGUGAAAUCCCCGGGCUCAACCUGGGAACUGCCUUUGUGACUGCAUGGCUAGAGUACGGUAGAGGGGGAUGGAAUUCCGCGUGUAGCAGUGAAAUGCGUAGAUAUGCGGAGGAACACCGAUGGCGAAGGCAAUCCCCUGGACCUGUACUGACGCUCAUGCACGAAAGCGUGGGGAGCAAACAGGAUUAGAUACCCUGGUAGUCCACGCCCUAAACGAUGUCAACUGGUUGUUAGGAGGGUUUCUUCUCAGUAACGUAGCUAACGCGUGAAGUUGACCGCCUGGGGAGUACGGCCGCAAGGUUGGAACUCAAAGGAAUUGACGGGGACCCGCACAAGCGGUGGAUGAUGUGGUUUAAUUCGAUGCAACGCGAAAAACCUUACCUACCCUUGACAUGUCUGGAAUCCUGAAGAGAUUUGGGAGUGCUCGAAAGAGAGCCAGAACACAGGUGCUGCAUGGCCGUCGUCAGCUCGUGUCGUGAGAUGUUGGGUUAAGUCCCGCAACGAGCGCAACCCUUGUCAUUAGUUGCUACGAAAGGGCACUCUAAUGAGACUGCCGGUGACAAACCGGAGGAAGGUGGGGAUGACGUCAGGUCAUCAUGGCCCUUAUGGGUAGGGCUACACACGUCAUACAAUGGCCGGGACAGAGGGCUGCCAACCCGCGAGGGGGAGCUAAUCCCAGAAACCCGGUCGUAGUCCGGAUCGUAGUCUGCAACUCGACUGCGUGAAGUCGGAAUCGCUAGUAAUCGCGGAUCAGCUUGCCGCGGUGAAUACGUUCCCGGGU
This 869-nucleotide ribosomal RNA is filed under the name uncultured bacterium. Its description in RNAcentral is "bacterial SSU rRNA". It matches the Rfam family "Bacterial small subunit ribosomal RNA", at positions 505 to 1379 of the family's 1533-position model. The record is from RNAcentral.